Molecule: long non-coding RNA, 209 nt
Filed under: Vigna radiata
Lineage: Eukaryota; Viridiplantae; Streptophyta; Magnoliopsida; Fabales; Fabaceae
Description: long non-coding RNA (VRAD_LNC007153)
Source: RNAcentral
ACCUCCUUCUUCUUCUAUCUUGGUUUUUUGUUGUACUUAUAGAGAAGCAUUGAGUUUUUGUUGUCGUUGCACUCACAAACAUUGAGUUCUCUGUUUCAUACUAUUAACUUGACUGAUCAGAGUGGUGGCUGCUGGUGCGAGCAAGAAGAACGGUAGCGGUUGGUGGUGCGAGGAAGAAGAAGAAAACGUCGAAACAGGUCAGUAAAAAC